GUUGGUUAUUGGGUGAUUGCUCUUUGAUUUUUAUUAAAGAGAGGAAAGUCCGAACUUUCUCCCUUUAAUUAGGGAAAAAGGGUAGCGGGUAACUCCCGUCUGCCGUAAGGCAAGAGGUGCGAACAGAGACGCUGUAUGACGAAAGAAAUACAGAUACCUUAAUUUAUAUUAAGGUAGAGCCUCUUAUGUAAAUAAGAGGGUGAAACGGCUAAAUCCUUACCUGAAAGCAAGGCCGUGCCCAGCACCAUUUUUACGGAACAAGUACUCAGUUAUUAGUGAAUUAAAGAUAUAUUGAGUAUUUAAAUAAUUGUUUUGUAAAAAUGGUGCUGGGAGAGCCGCUUGAACUUUUUGGCAACAAAAAGUCCAGAUAGAUAAUCACCGCCUUUUGUAAAAAAGGUACAGAAUUCGGCUUAUAGAUAACCGACCUUU
Molecule: RNase P RNA, 429 nt
Filed under: Candidatus Vogelbacteria bacterium
Lineage: Bacteria; Candidatus Vogeliibacteriota
Description: RNase P RNA component class A
Rfam family: Bacterial RNase P class A
About the family: Ribonuclease P (RNase P) is a ubiquitous endoribonuclease, found in archaea, bacteria and eukarya as well as chloroplasts and mitochondria.
Source: RNAcentral